This 1685-nucleotide ribosomal RNA is filed under the name Polymixia lowei (beardfish). RNAcentral describes it as "16S ribosomal RNA". The stretch from base 96 to 1605 matches the Rfam family "Bacterial large subunit ribosomal RNA". Lineage: Eukaryota; Metazoa; Chordata; Actinopteri; Polymixiiformes; Polymixiidae. The record is from RNAcentral.
UGCCUAAUAGCUAGCCCAAACUACCCCACCAAAAAUUAAUUAUAAAUACCCCUUAAUUAACUUAAAAAAUCUAAACAAACCAUUUUUCCACCCUAGUAUGGGCGACAGAAAAGGAACACGGAGCAACAGAAAAAGUACCGCAAGGGAAAGCUGAAAGAGAAAUGAAACAACUUGUUUAAGCCACAAAAAGCAGAGAUUAAAACUCGUACCUUUUGCAUCAUGAUUUAGCCAGUAAAACUCAAGCACAGUGCCCUUUAGUUUGAUACCCCGAAACUGAGCGAGCUACUUCAAGACAGCCUAUUUAAUAGGGCAAACCCGUCUCUGUGGCAAAAGAGUGGGAAGAGCUUCAAGUAGAGGUGAUAAACCUACCGAGCCCAGUUAUAGCUGGUUGCCUGAGAAAUGAAUAGAAGUUCAGCCUUUUAGCUUCUUAACCCAAACCAGACUUACCCAGACCUGGGCUCAAGAAACUAAAAGAGUUAGCCAACGGAGGUACAGCUCCUUUGGAAAAGAUACAACUUUAUCAGGAGGUGAAAGAUCAAAAUUAUUUACUAGGUAUAUUGUUUUAGUGGGCCUAAAAGCAGCCAUCUUGUUAGAAAGCGUUAAAGCUCAAACACCUAUUAUUAACCUUUUAUUAUGUUAUCAUAUCUUCUCCCCCUAAAUAUAUCAGGCCGCCUCAUGCAACCAUGAGAGUGACCAUGCUAAAAUGAGUAAUAAGAGGGUACGACCCUCUCCCUGCACAUGUGUAAGUCGGAACGGACCUCCCACCGACAAAUAAACGCCCCCAAAUAAAGAGGGAAAUGUAUAAUAAAUAAACCACUAGAAAAAUAUACACCUUAAUAAUCGUUAACCCCACACAGGAGUGCAUACAAGGAAAGACUAAAAGAAAAGGAAGGAACUCGGCAAACACAAGCCUCGCCUGUUUACCAAAAACAUCGCCUCUUGUAUAUUAAAAAUAAGAGGUCCCGCCUGCCCUGUGACUCUAUGUUUAACGGCCGCGGUAUUUUGACCGUGCGAAGGUAGCGCAAUCACUUGUCUUUUAAAUGAAGACCCGUAUGAAUGGCAUAACGAGGGCUUAACUGUCUCCCCUUUCUAGUCAAUGAAAUUGAUCUCCCCGUGCAGAAGCGGGGAUAAAAACAUAAGACGAGAAGACCCUAUGGAGCUUGAAACCUAUGAUAGUGCACGUCAAACACCUCAGCACAAAGAAAAGAACUAAGUGUUUACCUAUCAAAGUGUUUUUGGUUGGGGCGACCGCGGGGAAAACAAAACCCCCAUGUGGACCGGGAAUACUAAUUCCUACAACCCUAGAGCUACCGCUCUAAGUAACAGAACAUCUGACCUUCAAGAUCCGGCAAAGCCGAUCAACGGACCGAGUUACCCUAGGGAUAACAGCGCAAUCCUCUCCCAGAGCCCAUAUCGACGAGGGGGUUUACGACCUCGAUGUUGGAUCAGGACAUCCUAAUGGUGCAGCCGCUAUUAAGGGUUCGUUUGUUCAACGAUUAAAGUCCUACGUGAUCUGAGUUCAGACCGGAGUAAUCCAGGUCAGUUUCUAUCUAUGAAUUUGACCUUUUCUAGUACGAAAGGACCGAAAAGGAAGGGCCCAUACCUAAGGUACGCCCUACCCUUACCUAAUGAAAACAACUAAAAUAGGUAAAAGGGCAAAACCCCUAAGCCACAGAAAAUGGCAA